GACGAACGCUGGCGGCGUGCUUAACACAUGCAAGUCGAACGAUGAAGCCAGCUUGCUGGUGGAUUAGUGGCGAACGGGUGAGUAACACGUGGGCAACCUGCCCCCGGCUCUGGGAUAACUCCAAGAAAUUGGUGCUAAGACCGGAUAUUCUCGCUUCUCCGCAUGGGGUUUUGAGGAAAGGUUUUCGGCUGGGGAUGGGCCCGCGGCCUAUCAGCUUGUUGGUGGGGUGAUGGACUACCAAGGCGACGACGGGUAGCCGGCCUGAGAGGGUGACCGGCCACACUGGGACUGAGACACGGCCCAGACUCCUACGGGAGGCAGCAGUGGGGAAUAUUGCGCAAUGGGCGGAAGCCUGACGCAGCGACGCCGCGUGAGGGAUGACGGCCUUCGGGUUGUAAACCUCUUUCAGCAGGGACGAAGCGCAAGUGACGGUACCUGCAGAAGAAGCACCGGCCAACUACGUGCCAGCCGCCGCCGUAA
RNAcentral lists this ribosomal RNA (480 nucleotides) under uncultured bacterium. RNAcentral's name for it is "partial 16S ribosomal RNA". It matches the Rfam family "Bacterial small subunit ribosomal RNA", at positions 28 to 523 of the family's 1533-position model. The record is from RNAcentral.